This 472-nucleotide ribosomal RNA is filed under the name uncultured bacterium. RNAcentral describes it as "bacterial SSU rRNA". It matches the Rfam family "Bacterial small subunit ribosomal RNA", at positions 328 to 793 of the family's 1533-position model. The record is from RNAcentral.
GAAGAGCACUCCUACGGGAGGCAGCAUUGGGGAAUAUUGCACAAUGGGCGCAAGCCUGAUGCAGCCAUGCCGCGUGUAUGAAGAAGGCCUUCGGGUUGUAAAGUACUUUCAGCAGUGAGGAAGGUGGAUAUGUUAAUAGCAUAUUCAUUUGACGUUAGCUGCAGAAGAAGCACCGGCUAACUCCGUGCCAGCAGCCGCGGUAAUACGGAGGGUGCGAGCGUUAAUCGGAAUUACUGGGCGUAAAGCGCAUGCAGGUGGUUUGUUAAGUCAGAUGUGAAAGCCCGGGGCUCAACCUCGGAAUUGCAUUUGAAACUGGCAAACUAGAGUACUGUAGAGGGGGUAGAAUUUCAGGUGUAGCGGUGAAAUGCGUAGAGAUCUGAAGGAAUACCGGUGGCGAAGGCGGCCCCCUGGACAGAUACUGACACUCAGAUGCGAAAGCGUGGGGAGCAAACAGGAUUAGAUACCCUGGUAG